UACCCAGUUCGGAUCGCAGGCUGCAACCCGCCUGCGUGAAGUUGAAAUUGCUAGUAAUCGCGCAUCAGCCAUGGCGCGGUGAAUACGUUCCCGGGCCUUGUACACACCGCCCGUCAAGCCAUGGGAGCCGGGGGUGCUUGAAGUGCGUCGCCGCAAGGCGCGCCCUAGAGCAAAACCGGUGACUGGGGCUAAGUCGUAACAAGGUACC
This 208-nucleotide ribosomal RNA is filed under the name uncultured bacterium. RNAcentral describes it as "partial 16S ribosomal RNA". It matches the Rfam family "Bacterial small subunit ribosomal RNA", at positions 1285 to 1500 of the family's 1533-position model. The record is from RNAcentral.